This 66-nucleotide transfer RNA is filed under the name Saron marmoratus. RNAcentral's name for it is "tRNA-Pro". Lineage: Eukaryota; Metazoa; Arthropoda; Malacostraca; Decapoda; Hippolytidae. The record is from RNAcentral.
ACAGAAAGUAGUUUAAGGAAAAAAAUUUUAGUUUUGGGGACUAGAGAUGAGGAGAGAUCCUUUCUG